UAGGGAAGUCUUCCACAAUGGACGAAAGUCUGAUGGAGCAACGCCGCGUGAGUGAAGAAGGGUUUCGGCUCGUAAAACUCUGUUGUUAAAGAAGAACAUAUCUGAGAGUAACUGUUCAGGUAUUGACGGUAUUUAACCAGAAAGCCACGGCUAACUACGUGCCAC
RNAcentral lists this ribosomal RNA (165 nucleotides) under uncultured bacterium. Its description in RNAcentral is "partial 16S rRNA". It matches the Rfam family "Bacterial small subunit ribosomal RNA", at positions 355 to 511 of the family's 1533-position model. The record is from RNAcentral.